Molecule: long non-coding RNA, 210 nt
Filed under: Helianthus annuus (common sunflower)
Lineage: Eukaryota; Viridiplantae; Streptophyta; Magnoliopsida; Asterales; Asteraceae
Description: hypothetical non coding rna
Source: RNAcentral
GGUCGAGUCUUCAACAUGAAUGCACAAGAAGCACAAGCAGACAACGAGGUGGUGAACGGAGCUGUUCCAUAAGAUGUUGAUCACGAUACUAGGGCGGACCUGUGCCUUAGACACUAAAAAUGAAGAUAGAACUAGUAUAACUAUGUUUUGAAUUCUGUACUUCCUUUUAAGACAAUGUAACACCCGUGUUUGAUAAAUAAAAUGUAACUU